UUUCUCACUGUCUGAGCUGAAGA
This 23-nucleotide non-coding RNA is filed under the name Cricetulus griseus (Chinese hamster). The record is from RNAcentral. Lineage: Eukaryota; Metazoa; Chordata; Mammalia; Rodentia; Cricetidae.